CACUUUCUACACCUCGUCUCCGGGAAGAUUUGGCUGACCUGAGGAAAUUCUGUCCUCUUACAUUCACAAGGCGAAGAAUGUCCACCGUAAAAGAGAAGCCAUCAUAAAAGCUCUUUGUCCACACCUGAAUGAUGGAUUUCUUAUCAAGGAAUACAUGGACAUUCAUGGUGAAGACAUAUUGAGAGACCAGCACAGCACUGAAAUGGACAUGUCAUCAGAAGAGGGUGGAGCUCUUGGAGAAUAUGAAGAUGGUGACGCUGAUGGAAACAUUAUUGUAGGAAACAUCAAAUCAGUUGCACCAGACUGCAGUAAU
Colossoma macropomum (tambaqui) is the source of this 313-nucleotide long non-coding RNA. RefSeq lists it as uncharacterized. The record is from RefSeq and is a predicted model, not a curated record. NCBI's taxonomy places the organism in Eukaryota, Metazoa, Chordata, Actinopteri, Characiformes, Serrasalmidae. The transcript has 3 exons.